AUUCCGGAACCGGGACGU
RNAcentral lists this small nuclear RNA (18 nucleotides) under Arabidopsis thaliana (thale cress). RNAcentral describes it as "snRNA_14952". Lineage: Eukaryota; Viridiplantae; Streptophyta; Magnoliopsida; Brassicales; Brassicaceae. The record is from RNAcentral.